RNAcentral lists this ribosomal RNA (1191 nucleotides) under Triticum aestivum (bread wheat). RNAcentral's name for it is "partial small subunit ribosomal RNA". Lineage: Eukaryota; Viridiplantae; Streptophyta; Magnoliopsida; Poales; Poaceae. The record is from RNAcentral.
AUGUGGUUUCUCCUCUUUGACGGUUCGACUUUGCUUCCAUCUCCUUCAGUCCUCCACGGCCUCUAUGACCUUUGUCCGUGCACAGCCGCCGGCCGCCGCAGCUUCGCCAAUCGUUAUGUUCCCCAUCAGCCGUCAGCGAUCUUAGCCGUGAGGAGCAAGUCGUCAGCAAAUUCUUCACGGCAACCACUGGAAAAUGAGAAAGAACAGACACCUACUGAUGCUAGUUCUGCUUUGGAACGGGUACUAGUUAACAGCAAUGCAAGACCAUGCUCAACCGAAGAAGAAGAAGAACAUGUUGAUAUAUCCAAUCUUCCGCCGGAUCCUGCUGACCGUAAGCCAAUUUCCGAAUACAAAACUGCCAAAGUUCGUGAUGAUGUGCAAAAAGCUUACCUCCUAAGAGGCCCAUGCCAACCUGAUGGACAUGUUCUCCGUCAAACUGAUUUCAGUGGAAUUCAACGUCGUUUUAAUAAAGAAUGGUUCAAGACGUACAAACCUUGGUUGGAGUAUAGUAUAAAGGAAGAUGCUGCAUUUUGUCUUGUCUGCUACUUGUUUCAAAAUGAAAAUAUUGCAAGGUUGCUUCUUGUUCUGGGCUUGCCGUUUCGAGGUCACGAUGAAAGUGAGACUUCUUUGAGGAAGGGUAAUUUCCUAACUUUUUAUGAGUGGAAGGAUCAAGAUAUUGUGAAUGUUGUGUCAUAUCUUUGUAAAACAAAAAGAAGGCUACAAGAAAUGAGAAACCAAGGUUGGGAAGAGCUUGAUGACCGCUUUAGUGAGAGCAGCACGACAUUGCUUAUUGGCAUGGCUUGUUUGGAUCCUUCUAAUUCAUUCUCUAACUUUGAUAAGGAUAAAGUUUUAGCAAUGGCUCGUUUGUAUCCUGAUGAUUUUGAAAGUGAAAUCAAGAUUGAAGAUCUUAGCGUCCAACUCGACAACUUCCUUGAAAAUGUUACUAGUUUUCCUCUAGUGUUUCAUUUGGUGAAGCUAGCAAUGAUUUUGCGAGUUGCAAUGGCGAUAGUUGAGAGAGCAUUUUCUGCAAUGAAAUAUAUCAAGUCUGAUUUGCAUAAUAGAAUAGGUGAUGAUUUCUUGUAUCGUUGUCUCAUUACUUAUGUUGAAAGCGGUGUAUUCCAGUCUAUCAGUACUGAUGCUAUUAUGCAUACAUAUCAAAGUAUGCAUGAUCGCGGAGAGCUGCUACCAUAA